Molecule: small nucleolar RNA, 73 nt
Organism: Ailuropoda melanoleuca (giant panda)
Lineage: Eukaryota; Metazoa; Chordata; Mammalia; Carnivora; Ursidae
Product: small nucleolar RNA, C/D box 114-7
Source: Ensembl
UGGACCAGGGGUGCUGACUGAUGGCAGAGGAAUCAUGUGGUGAGUACUAUGUGUCUGGAACUCUGAGGUCCAC